Molecule: ribosomal RNA, 315 nt
Filed under: uncultured bacterium
Lineage: Bacteria
Description: bacterial SSU rRNA
Rfam family: Bacterial small subunit ribosomal RNA
Source: RNAcentral
GAUGAACGCUAGCGGCAGGCUUAACACAUGCAAGUCGAGGGGCAGCAUGGGGAGUAGCAAUACUCUCUGAUGGCGACCGGCGCAAGGGUGCGUAACGCGUGAGCAACUUGCCCUCAUCAGGGGAAUAAUCGCUGGAAACGGCGUCUAAUGCCCCAUGGUGAUGGUUCCAGGCAUCUGGUUCCAUCUAAAGAUCCGUCGGAUGAGGAUAGGCUCGCGUGACAUUAGCUUGACGGCGGGGUAACGGCCCACCGUGGCGACGAUGUCUAGGGGUUCUGAGAGGAAGGUCCCCCACACUGGAACUGAGACACGGUCCAG